This 161-nucleotide unclassified non-coding RNA is filed under the name uncultured Tremellales. RNAcentral's name for it is "sequence contains ITS2". The record is from RNAcentral. Lineage: Eukaryota; Fungi; Basidiomycota; Tremellomycetes; Tremellales.
AGACUCAACCCCUCGGGUUUCCGAGUAGGUUGGAUGUGGGUGUUGCCUGCCUCUGGCUCACCUUAAAGAACUUAGUGGGGAUAGCAUCCUAGUCGACGUAAUAAGUUUCGCCGGUGAUGGUGUGAAGCCUGCUCAUAACUGCCCUUGGGCACCUUUUGACU